AACUAACAAAACACUGGGCCGCCUGCAGCGGAGCGCGUGAACUUAACCACUCGGCCACGGGGCCAGCCCCAACAGUCAUUUGAUUUUAAGGGAGAUUACCCUGGAUUAUGUGGGUGGGCCCAGUGUAAUCCCAAGGGUCCUCACCACGGAAAAGAGGGAGGCAGGAGAGUCAGAGAAGGAGAUUUAUGGACAGAAGCAGAGGUGAGAGUGGGCCAACGCAUGUGGGCAGGCAAAGGAGGAAAGAAAGGACAGGAAACAGAUCCUCCCUACAGCCCCAAGAGACGCAGCCUGCAGACUCCCUGACUUUAGCCUUAGAAAUUCACUUUGGACUUCUGGCCUCCAGAACUCCCCAGUGCGUAGUUGUAUGCCCCAGCUGGAGGUCAUUCUACUUCUUCUCUGUGGGAUGGCGCCAGAGCAUGACUUGAUCAGCGGUGCGUGAGUCCACACCCAGGGUCCAAACCGGCGAAGCCGAAGAGAGUGCGGGAACUCAACCUGAGCCAUGGGGCCGGCCCCAAUCUGCGUUGUUUUAAGUCACUUCUUAUUUUGUCCUAAUCUCUGUUUCAUUAUCUAGUUGCUGGUUUCAUUCUUGUCCGGAUCCUCAGUCGAUAUUUGAACCUUACAGCAACUCAAGUAUGUGGUUUAACCCAUUCUGGUCCUGCUCCUAGACCCUUUUUCUGGACUUCAAAUUCAGAACCAAAGAUUUUUUAUUUUUAAGUUUUUAAAUAUAGUAUAGACCCAUAGAUUAUUUUUUAAUAGUAUUUUAAAAUAAUACAUGC
RNAcentral lists this long non-coding RNA (776 nucleotides) under Equus asinus (donkey). RNAcentral describes it as "lncRNA (ENSEASG00005026229.1)". The record is from RNAcentral. Lineage: Eukaryota; Metazoa; Chordata; Mammalia; Perissodactyla; Equidae.